GAUGAACGCUGGCGGCGUGCCUAAUACAUGCAAGUCGAGCGAACAGACGCGGAGUUUGUUCCUCUGACGUUAGCGGCGGACGGGUGAGUAACAUGUGGAUAACCUACCUAUAAGUCUGGGAUAACUUCGGGAAACCGGCGCUAAUACCGGAUAAUAUAUUGAACCGUAUGGUUCAAUAGUGAAAGACGGUUUUGCUGUCACUUCUCGAUGGAUCCGCGCCGCAUUAGCUAGUUGGUAAGGUAACGGGUUAUCAAGGCAACGAUGCGUAGCCGACGUGCUAGACGGUUCGGCCGCCUUGGAGCGUAAACUCAGCCCAUGCUCCUACGGUAGGGAACAGAAGUUGAUCUGCCGCAGUAGGCGGAAAUCUGACAGAACAGCGCCACGGAAGUUGCGGAGAUCUUCCGAGCGGAAAACUCGGUUAUGAGGUAAAAACAAAUGUGGAAGUAGCUAAGCACGGCGUGACGGUACCGAAUCAGAAAGCCACGGCUAACUACGUG
This 497-nucleotide ribosomal RNA is filed under the name uncultured bacterium. Its description in RNAcentral is "partial 16S ribosomal RNA". It matches the Rfam family "Bacterial small subunit ribosomal RNA", at positions 28 to 507 of the family's 1533-position model. The record is from RNAcentral.